This 15197-nucleotide long non-coding RNA is filed under the name Cucumis sativus (cucumber). RNAcentral's name for it is "long non-coding RNA (CSAT_LNC002093)". Lineage: Eukaryota; Viridiplantae; Streptophyta; Magnoliopsida; Cucurbitales; Cucurbitaceae. The record is from RNAcentral.
GCUGGGGAACUGCUGACUUCCCACUUCGUUCACCCCCAAAUCCUUAGGUUUGUGAUUUCUCUUCCCUCCGUCUCAUUCUACUUGGGUCUUUCUGCAUCUGACGAUUUCAAGUCAUGGGUCUUGCGAAGCGAUUCAUUUGCUGCGUUUUCACGUGUCUUUCUUCCAUCUGAUCAAUUGGGUUUUAUUUCUUGUAUGGGAUAUUGUAUAGUUUUAGCGGGGAGAAUGAAGUACUGGGGAUUUGGUUUUAGUGAACUCGUGCAGUAUUUGCUCCAUCUGUCUUCACUCGUUCUUCCACUCUAUCUAUAGUUUCAAUCCACUAUUUUCAAACUGUAAAUCCUCUGGGUCUGCUUCAUAUAUAUCAGGACGAAACCGUUGCUUUACGUGAUUUUGGAAAAAUUAUGUAACUUUUGUCCGACAAUAUAAAGAAAUGAGUACCCUGCUCUUCUGAUAAUCGUAUUUAACUCUGUGGUGGCUGACGUUUAUGAAUCCAUUCACAAAAAAUGGGAGUUUCUUUUUAUGGAUACGUUUUUUGACUAAUUGUUUGUACCAUAUGAGAUUUUCAUCUUGUUGAAAUUAAGGGGCACGUAUUGUUAUUGAUGGUCAAUAAACAACGUCUUGCAUUUACAGCCUUUUCAUUUACCUUUUGAUCAUUUGAACUGAACCCGUAUAUUGAAUUUCAGUGAGGAGUAAGCAUCUUCAACUCUUGAACCUGCAUUUUCCAUUCUUCAAUGCUGUUUUGAGCUUUCUCCACAACUUUCUGCCAAGAUGUAGCAUUCAUUAGUUAUGUUCCCAUUAUUUUCUUGAAAGUCUUAAAAAACCGUUCAUGUUCUUAUAGAUAGACUUGGAGACUUAAUGUAGGAAAAUGUCGAAGAGUAAAAGGAGGAAUCAGAGGCAGAGGAAAAAACGAAAGUUAGAGAAUGGAAGGGGAAAUUCUACUGUGGAUUGGGCAGCGCUCCCGCGGGAUGUUCUUGUUAUGAUCUUUGAGCAGUUGUCCCUUGUGGAUUGCAUAUCAGUCGAUAAUGUCUGUAAGCUUUGGAGCAAUAUCCUUUCUGAACUUCCAAAUUGGAAGAUGGGAGGAUUUCCAUGGCUUAUGAUGUCAGGUAAAAAAGAUAGAGAGAUGAGAACUUGUGCAAGCAUUCUGGAGAAUCGAAUUUGGGAAAUAGAGCUUCAUGAGGCAUAUGGAGCUUAUAUUUGGGGAUCUUUCCAGGACUGGGUAAUAAUGGUGAAGGAUCUUGGUUGUUAUUCUCUUGAAGUUAGUUUGUUGAACCCUUUCUCUGUAAGGAAGAUUAACCUGCCAAGGCUUUGGAACUUCUAUCACAAGAUGGUUCUUUCAGGUUCUCCUGCUGAGGAAAACACAAUUUGUGCAGCCAUUCAUAGUCAGAAUCGUGAAAUUGCCUUUUGGGUUCAAGGGUCAGAAGUAUGGCACAAGUAUAAACUUGAAGGUACACCUUUUGAAGAUGCUGUCUUCUGUAAUGGAAGUCUUUUUCUUCUCUGUAACGACAGUAACAUUUUCCAAAUUGAAGCAACAAGUAUCAUCUCGUAUUUUAGGGAAGAUGAAUGUGUUAUAUCUAUUUCUGAGAUCAAAGUACAGUUCCACGAAGUUCGAAGCCUAAAAAUAAACAGUCAACAUGUGUUGAAGUAUCUCGUCGAGUCUUCAGGGGAUGUUUUGUUGGUCUGUAGGUACUUCAGCGAGAAACCGGAUGCUGUACUUGAAACAAUCAAUUUUGAGAUAUAUUCACUUGAUCUUUCUCAGAUGUCAUGGGAAAAGAUCGUGUGUCUGGAUGAUCGGAUUCUUUUUUUAGGUAAAUGUUGUUCUAGAUCUCUUUCUUCAACUGACCUCGGUAUUUUGAUCAGUAACCGUAUCUAUUUCUCCAACGAUGAUAUGGCUCCUUGGUGGAAUGAAUGGGAUUCUAAUCAUUUGAAAGUAGUAUCUUCACGUUUUGGACUCAACAACUCCUCAGGAAAAGAUUGGGGAACCUUUCACAUAAUCAGAGACAGCAGUGGAAAAUUUUGUUUCCAUGGUAACCGUGACAAUUGGGGCCCCAUCUGGUUCACUGCACCUCUAUGGUGGUAUAGCAAGAACAUUGCUAGAAAAUCAAAUCGAUAUCGAUAAAUAUGGUGAAACUUAUCAUGAUUUGUGGUAGAAAUCCAAAAAUUACUGAUACUGGGUGUGCUUGAGAUGGUUGGUAAUGUAAGAAACUAAAUUUUUCUUUAAUGUCUAGCGUUAACAAAAUGUACACCCCUUACAUGUAAAUUGUUCAAGCUCUAAGAGAAGCAUUUUGAACUGGGUAGGAUUAGUACUUCUCUUUUUGUAUAUGCCCUUAUUUUGUCAUAUACAUAUAUCGUAAUGCUCAGGAUAAUGUUUGCUUACUGUCGAAAUAGCAGAAUCCUUGCUGUCUAAUUGGAAUGUUCCUGGAACGAACUUGUGUUGGAAAAGAGGGUAACAGGUAUGUUUAUUUUUUGAUACAUUGAAAAAAGAAGCCAUGGACUUCACCCUAUGUUUCAAAACUACUCUGUUAAAAGCUGCAGUAAUCCCAUUGAUAUUUUGUAAAGGUUUUAAAACUACCCUUAUAGUAGAAGUCGGUUAGAAUUUUGGAUGAAGAUUGAGACUGAAAAACUAAACUAGUGUGGCAGUGACUCAAACAAUGAUAGUCUCCAUUCUUGAUCAUUGCCACACCUUUCUAGGUCCCAAUUUCUAUCGAAAGUCGAGGGUAUAAUGAAGAAAGACAAGUGUUAGUAGUAUAUGUUUAUAAUUUAUCCUAUAUAUUUGUAGUGCUAAGGUACUGUUCAUCUUAGGCAUAAUCUUGGUAACCAUAUGUUGGUUUGUGCUUUGAUUUUAUAUUAUCACUUUUGGAAACAAACAAUAGAUUUAUGUUUUUUCAAACUCUUGACCCUCGCCUUUCUCUAACUUUUGAUUUCUACAUGACAUAUCUCUUCUUUCUUGCCUAACUCAAUAGAACCAAAGAUGAACAUAGGAUAUGAAUGGUUUUUCUGAAUGGUUGUCCACCAGGUCUUUGCUGAGAUGGAUUAUGUAUUUUAUAUCUUUAAAAAUAUGUUUGAUUCCAAAUUGAACUGAAAUUUGACCAAAAUCAUUAUUCUUUGAGGAACUUGUAAACUUUUGGCUGCUACAUUUUUCAACGCUCAAAUCAUAUCAUCUUUUCUGUUUUCUUCUCAAAAUAAUAACAAUAAUAUUAUCAUUGUUGUUAGUAGUAUUAAAAUAGUAUUCCAACUGCUACAUUUUUCAGUUGGCUUGUGGCUGCUAAAAUUUUGAAUUAAAAAAUUUAAGACUUAAUGUUAAUUAGAAACAUACAUGUGAAGAAGAAUAAUUUCCCAGUUGUUGUCCAUAAUAGUUGUCUGACUGUUCAAAUAUGGAGUAUGUUCUGUAAUUUGCAGCCUCUAGAUGUAACUUCUUUCCAUUACUUUUCUUUCUAAAAUUAAAUGUACACUUGCCACCUUCUAUUUAUUUUUAGGUAAAGUUUCAUCUCUUUUGUCUUUUUGCUUUUUUUGUCACUAGUAGUAAAUGGAAAUGGCUUGAUUCCUUUUUGUGUUGUUGUCCAUUGAAUAACUCAAUUCUAUCCCCUACUUCUUCAACAAGGGUUCUUGCAUAGUUUACUCAGAGUUAUAAAAUUAAAGUUGAGUUGAAUUAUGAAGCAUGAAAUUAAAUGAAUACAUGUUUGAUGUGCAUAUUUUACCUAAAUCAGUACGUGUUUAAGAACUCAACUCGGUUUACUUAUCUUGAAAAUUACUUUUCUAUGGUGUAAAUUAGAUUAUGAGGGAUUCGUUGUUUGAUGGGACUCUCUCUCUUUUUCUUUGUUUCAUUUCAAAUUUUGGGUGACAUUUAUUUAUCUUUCUCUAAGAUUUAAAAUAUGGUUUUGGUUUUACUUCUUCAAACAAAGCAUUUGCUCUAUUGGUCUUAUAGCUAGAUAUGUAUCUUUACUAAAAUAAUAUAUGAAUAUAUUUUAAAAACUACUUUUCUAUUCUGUGAACUCUUUUUAACAGUGACAUCAACCUGGCUUUUAAUUAUUUGGUAGACAGAAAGAUGUAAUAUGUUUUUCCUUUUUAUUGUUUGUGCUUGUGUGUGUCUAGUUCAUUAAUUUUUAAACAAUCAAUUUACGAAUUAAAAUGUUGAAGGUGAAACAAGAUACAAAUAUUGAAGUUCAUGUAAUACUUUUGUAGUUUAAUAUGACACAAUAUCAAAGCAAUGAACUACGUCUCACUCGCAAAUAAUUGAGUCUCAAGUAUCAUCAACUUAUCCACGUCAAAUUCAACCCUUAUGUUUAUAUUAAUUAAAGUGGUAAAUAUUUUAUGAAAUUUGCUAUUUUUUUUUUAUAUAAUUCUUAACAAACAAGUUAAUAUAUUUAUUGUUUAUAUUGUAUUUAGUUUUAAUAUAACUAAAUGAUUGAUCAAAUCCUGAUAUGUGAAAAACAAAAGUUCAAUAAAGAAUAUGUAUGAACAACAUUAAUAAAAGGUGACAUACUUAAUCUUUAUCGUUGCCUAACGCAACUAUCUUACUACUAAAUUACAAAUUUAAUUUUUGAAUUAUGACUAUUUAUCUCCUAAUAAAUUGUUAGCGUCAAAAAAUAAAAAAAUCUUAAUUAAUUAAUUGCUUGGGGUCCACAGUCCACAUUUCAAGUUGCGAUUCCGAGAUGCCCCGUAAGCAAUCAAUCCCUCAAUAUUCUUUUCAUUUUCUCUUUUGUCCCUCUAUUCUUCUCAAUUUCACACUUCUUCCCCUCCCCUAACGAUAACUUCAAAUUACCAACUUACCCCUCCCUAAACCUCCAAUUUUGGAAUUUUGGCAAUUCUCCUCUGGCGGGAGUUCACCCCUCUACUUCUUUUUAUUAAAAUUUUACCACUUUAAUUCUUUUUAUUACUCUCCCCUCCCCUCCCCCCCCCCUAAUUUUAAUUAUAACGAAAAAAAAGAGGAGAUAUUAAUUUUAUUGACCAAAAAAAGAAAAAGAAAAAAAAGAAAAUGUUUCUUAAUUGUAGUCGUUUUUUCGUCGAACCGUUUUGAUCUGUUUGCCAUUCUCUUCAUUUCUCACCUUUUUCUCUAAACCCGCCUCGUCCCCAUUCCCCCAUUCACUCUCUUCUUCCUUUGCAUUCUCUUCUUUAUUCAUCCCUACUCUCUUUCUCCCGAUCGCUUUAAUUCUCCCAUUUCUUCAUCCGCGAUUUCUUUUCCUUACCAGAUCCGACGAUUUUUUUGCUUGUUUCUGCUGUUUUGAUUUCCGGUAAUCUUUAUCGUUUCUCAUUUUUCCUCUACUUCAACUUCCUCUUCGUUGACUUUUUUUUUUGUGUUAUUACGCUUUCUUACUGCAACUUCCAGAGCUGAGUAGUGUUGGUAGACUGUCGAUAUGUUAGGAGCGGGUGUACGGUUUGGUCGUGCCAAGGGAGAGGACCGCUUUUACGAUUCAUCCAGAGCCAGGAAGGGGCUUCUCAGUCGUCAGAAUGAUAGGCUAUCUACAUCUCAACAAGAUGCUUCUGCUACUACUCCAUCCUAUGCGGAUAAGGAAGUUGUUUCCACACGCCCCCUUGACCGUUUGGUCUCUGAUGAAGCUACUAAACCAGUUCCUGUUUCAAUUUUAAGUAAUCUGGAGCGGUUCUUGCAGUCGGUUACUCCCUUUGUGCCUGCUCAGUUUCUCUCUAAGGUUUUUUUUUUUUUUUUUUUAGUUGGGUUUUCACUUUUUGAUUGAUCUUGAGGAAGCUUGUGUGUUGUUUUGUUGUAGAGUGCGUUGAGAGGUUGGAGGACGUGUGAUUUGGAGACAAAGCCUUACUUUUUGCUUGGGGAUUUGUGGGAGGCUUUCAAAGAGUGGAGUGCUUAUGGUGCAGGAGUGCCUCUUUUAUUGAAUAACAGUGAUGGUGUGGUUCAGUAUUAUGUCCCGUACUUGUCUGGCAUACAAUUGUAUGGCAUGGAAUCGUCUACAAAGACAAGGUAUUUGAUAUCAAUAUGCUGGAAUUGAUAUUGUCUUCUACCUCUUUUAAUAUAUUUAUAUUUAUAUAAGCAUGAUAUGCCAUUCUGUUUCGCCCAUUCACUGGUGCAUCUUUGGCACGGAGCUUUAUAGCUUCAGUUUGUUUUCGUUUUUUUUUUUUUUUUUUAUUUGAUUCUGUUUUUUCAUAACUUUAUGAAGGGCAUUUUUAUUUUCAGCUCAAGUGAUUUGAUGUUUUACUUCUUUUUUGUCCCUAUAUUUCGUUCCUUUAUCUUAUGGACCAUUAUGCUUAUGGUUCUCACAGAAUGUUUUUCUUCUACCGAGGAGUUAUUUUAGCUUUACCCAGAUGGUCCUCGUAUCUAGACAAAUGUUCCUUCCUUCUCCUUUUCACAACUUUUUUAAGUUCUAAACAAAUUUUGAUUACGUAGUUAAUAUGUCCUCUUGAUUAAUGGUAGGAUCGAGAGCGUUUUAGAGACUGAAAUUUUGAACGUUAUCUUGUGUUUACUAAUAUGGUGUGAGAGGAAAAUAGAGGUCAAGGAAAACACACUCGUUUCAAUAUCUUUUUGCUGGGGUCAUUUCACCUUUUUGGUUCAUUAUGUUUUGAUUGUUGCUCAACAUCAUUAAGAGAAUUUAUGUGCUUUUUUGGGGAAUUAUAUUGUUCCAUUCUUUUAUGAAUUUGAUUGUUGUUUUGUUUUCAUACAUCCUCUUUUUGUGUUAUUGAUGUAUAUACUUUGGUUGUUUGAAAGGCGAUGGGGUGAGGAAAGCGACAGUGACUAUAGAGAUUCAAGUAGUGAUGGUAGUAGUGAUUCUGAAACAAUUAGAAGAAUAAAACACAGUAGAGAACCACCCCACCAUAAUGAUCCGUCUAUAACAGAUCCUCUUAGAAUGGAUAGAUUGUCUUUGAGGGACCAGCAUUUGGGACUUCAUGAGGACUGCUCCAGUGACGAGGCUGAAUCUUUCAAUUCUCAAGGCCGCCUUCUAUUUGAGUAUCUCGAAAGAGACCUACCGUAUUUACGUGAACCUUUGGCUGACAAGGCAAGUGGUUUUUCUGUGUUUUGAGACCAUAUUAUUUAGGCUUUCAGCCUCACACUUUUCUCUGUUGUUUUUGACACAGAUAUCGGAUCUUGCUUCUCGCUUCCCACAGUUGAAAACAAUGAGAAGCUGUGACCUCCUACCGUACAGUUGGAUAUCUGUGGCAUGGUAUUAGCAUCUUCACAUUUUAUAUGAAAGCUCUUUAAUAUCCAUUGGCUAAUUGGCUUCCAACCCAAACGUUUUAGGUACCCAAUUUACAGGAUACCAACUGGGCAAACAUUAAAGGAUCUUGAUGCUUGUUUUCUCACAUACCAUUCUUUACACACACCAAUGAGAGGUAAUUGAAUUUCUUGCCAGUUUGACAUUUGCAAGUCCAUUCUUUGUGCAUGCCUUUUGUCUUUCAAUUCAAGUUCAUUUUCUUAUUCUAUUCUGUCCUUGAGAGCUUCCUUUAUUAUUAUUAUUUUUUUAAAAUAUUGUAUUGUGUGAAAUUCAUGGUACCAUGAUAUAUUUGAGUCAUUUUCUUUAUAUUUUUCAGAUUCUCAAAGCCCACCAACACCCUUUGUGGCAUAUCCUUGUAAGACGAAUGGUGCCGAAAAGGUUCCUUUAAGAAUUUUUGGACUUGCUUCAUACAAGUUUAACGGGUCGUCAUUGUGGAUGCGAAAUGGUGGAGUUGAGCAUCAAUUGGCAAACGCCCUCUCGCGAGCAGCUGAAAAUUGGCUAAGAGAUCUUCAUGUCAAUCACCCUGAUUUCCUGUUCUUCAGCCGCCGAGAUGCAACACCUUACUGAUACAACCAACUAGAAAACAAAAGUUUGCAUGUAGUGGCCCUGCAAAAGAAUCCCGAAACGUGGUGAAUGUGCUGUAUGCUCACUGAAGGUGGGGUGGUUCACUCGUUAGCUUUCAUUAAGGUGAAGGACUGGAGAAAGUUUAUGGAAUGGGAUAGGUCACAAAAUUUUGAGGCUUUAGACGCGGGGGGGUGCACAUGCCUGAUGUAGUAACAAAGCCUGAUAAAAAGUGAACGCUAAAAAUGUUAGAAAACAUUGCUCUAAGGCAUGCUGGUUUAGCGAGGUAGAUGUUGGUUCGACAUGUAUUAAUAAGCAGGUUUUCUUGUUUGCUUUCACUUUUUUCUUUAUCCAUCCCCAGAAGUGCCAUCAUUUGAGAAAGGAGGCCUUCUUUGAUCUCUCUGACUGACGGUCCUGAUUUUGUUAGAUUGUAACGUUGUUCAAGUGGAUUUUAAUAGGUUUUAUUCAGGAUCUCGGUGCGUCAGGCAAUGAAACUGUACUGCAGGAGUAUCCUUGACCAUGAACUGAAUUAGAAAAUGUUCAUGGAAAGCUUACAAUACGCCCUGGACUUGGGCUUCUAUCCGUACUUGGUUUGGUUUUCUUCUUCUAUAUUCAGAUGUAUUUGAAGAUAUAUGUCUUUUCCUUUGCUUUUCUACUGCAAGUUUUUGUCAAUGUCAGGUAUUGUGACCCUGAUCGAUGCUUGAUCGCCUCAUAUCUAUUAUGAUCUAUAGAAAUGGUAAGUCUUUGGUACCGGACUUACUUUCUGUUUUAUACAACCAAGGUCAGAAGACUUGUUGCAAAAUUUCUGAUUCUACCGAUCUAGGCAAGUUUUUUUAUUAACUGUUACUACGUCUAUGAAUUAUGAUGUUAAAGGUUGAUUGAGUGAAUAAAUAUUGCAGUAUCAUUGGACAGUGUUGGUGUCAUAUUACUAUUUAGUCCUUAUUAAGUCAAAAGUUUAUAAUUCCUAUGAAUGUUACAAUUGGAUUACUAUAAGCUUACAUGAUGUGAUAUCUAGUGAGAGUUGGUGAGAAAUUCGAGUUGAAAUUAGGGCCUUUAAAAACCACAAUCGCUUAUAAUUCCUCCAAAGUGCUUUCAAUUCUGAUUUCCCUUUUUCUUUUACCAACUCUCUAAGUAAGAUACUAUCACGAGUACGUCGUCUAAAUUUUAACAAUAUUUAACAGAUUUAUCGAUUAAUUAACAUAGAAGACGAACUUGAAAAUUCUUGAAAUAUCAGCAGUUCUUGAUUACUUAUUAUACUUAUUAAGGAGACCAUCUUAAAUGAAGAAACUAAGAUGUUUAGGAAAUAUGUUAUUUAAUUGGUAAUCUAAGUAGCAACUUGGCUUAUAGGAGGUAGGUCUAGAAAUGGAGAUUUGACAUAAAUUCAGUUGUCCAUAUUAGUCUCUCUUGGUUGGCUACUUGUUAGGGCGCUAACCUCAAUUGAGCCAUUAUUAAAUGAUAUGUUAAAAUAGUCACGUACCAUUUUUAAAUGUUCAUAGUUUUGUUGCACAUAGAAAUUAGGAAACACCGCAGUCUAUUAAAACUUAAAUAGUAGACAAAAUUGAAAAAAACAUCAACUUGUUUCAAUAUGUGACAUUGGUUAUUUGGUUUUAAGUUUCAACUCUAGAUUUUCAAUCCUAACUGCACAAGCUUUAAUAUGAUUUUAAUUUUAACCCCUUCACUUUUAAGAUAAUAUAAAAGGAUGAUUAAAUUAGACUAAUUUUAUCUAAUACAACAACUUUUUCUUUAACUCUCUUUUACAAUCAUACAGUUAAAACUUUCUAACUUCAAUGUAUUAAUAAUUACAUAACUUAAAGUCACUACUCAAUUUCCUGCUUUUAACACAUCCAAUGUAUCAUGAUUCAUUAGGACUAUAAAUAAAACUUUGGUUAUUUGCCCUCAAAUCAUUUCUUAUUUUGGUUAUUCAUAAACUAAGCAUGGACAAGAACCUCCUAUAGCCGGUGACACAACCCCAAAAGUCCACAUACCGAUCCCACUUCUUACUAUAACACAAAAAACAAAGCAAAUUACAAAAUCAUGUGAUAAACUAAUCACCAUAACAAAGUAAAGAUACCCACUCAAAUCUCCCCACGUAUGCAAAUUCAUCUCCAAAUCAAAGCCUAUUGGUAAAGAUAGUAAUGAACACAGUAAAGAAAGAAGCAGAGAAUCACAAUUCAGUAGUCAGAGUGGCCACUGCCGCAGGCAGCCAUCCCAAGAAAAGCAAAAGCCUCACCUCCGCCACAUUCUUCAAUACCAAAAUCACCAAAUUUCAACAACAAAUCAAAUUAAAUUUCAAAUUUUGAAGCCGCCCCCUCCCAAUUCCUUUUCUUCUUCUUCUUUCUUAAAAAAUGGCAGUCUCAGCUAUUGUUUUGGCCACCAUCACUUCUCUUCAUCUCAUAGCCUUUGUCCUUGCCGUUGGCGCCGAGCGUCGUCGCAGCACCGUAAGUUUCUCAGCUCACUGAUUCACUGACCUUUUUUCAUUAAUCUCUGUGAAUGGAAAGGCUUUUAUAUUUCUUUGUACUCUGUUUUUUUUUUUCUUUUUUUCUUUUUGUGAAGGCUAAUAUUGUGCCAGAUGAGUACGACGAAAAGACUUACUGUGUGUACGGCACCGACGCAUCUACGGUGUACGGACUGUCGGCAUUCGGUUUGCUUCUCAUAAGCCAAGCGGUGGUUAACGGCGUUACUAGAUGUUUCUGCUGUGGGAAAGGUUUAAUUAGUGGAAAAACCACCACUGUUGCCAUUUUCUUCUUUGUCUUUUCUUGGUAUGUAGAUCCUUUCAUUUUUAAAUUUGUUAAUUUAAAACAUACGGGUUUUGAAAACGACACAAAACCCUUCAACCCCAUCAAACAAAAACCCAACCUUGAUGGCAAUAUUCGUUUAAUUUAUAUUACUUUGUUUUUAUAGGAUUAGCUUCAUCGGAGCAGAGAUCGGACUAUUGGCCGGAUCGGCUAGGAAUGCUUACCACACAAAGUACAGGGCGACGUUUGGGGUGGAAAAACUAUCGUGUGCGACUCUCCGGAAAGGGGUGUUUGCCGGCGCAGCCGCGAUGACGGUGCUAUCGAUGGUGGGUUCGAUUUUGUACUACUGGAUGCAUUCGAAAGCCGAUACAGGGGGAUGGGAGAAGCACCAGAAUAACGAAGGUGUGGGCAUGGGGACGGCGGGUGUUCAUCUUCACAUGAAGCAACAGAAUGCUCAAUAGAUUAAUUUGGUUUUUGGAAUUGGUUUAGUGAUUUUGCGAUGAGAAUUAAUGGUUGUUAUUAAAAUGGGGAAGUGUUUGUUUGUAAGGAAGAAGAAAGGGGAAAGUGUUUGAAAAGCACUCGUAUCAAUCAUCAAAUUAAGCUUUGCUUAGCUUUUGUUUCUUUAUUCGAGUGUGUGUCUCGUAUUUUAAGGAAAUUUUUCUCCUUUUAGGACGCGUCGUCUUGAAGUUCCAACUUUGAAUUUUGCUAUUGGAGAUUUUUUUCUAGGGUUUCUCAAAGUGAACUUAGGACUCAAAGAACAUGCUUGCCUUUGCUUUUUGUUACAUUUAAGCCAUGGAUUUGCUAAUCUAAACAUUAAUAGGUUUCAUUUAUUUGUUUACUUUGAUUGUUGUUUAUGAGUCUCAUGUAAUCAACAAUAAAUUAGCAAUAUGUGUAGUUAAUUAUCUAAAUUUUUUUUAAUGAGGUAAUUUUUUGGGUUAUGAAGGUUGAAAUAUUGAUUAUUAUUAUUUUGGGAUGAGAUUGAAAAUUGAAUGUUGAGAAUGGAAAAGAAAUAAAUUAGAAAAUGGGAAUGUGAUCAUAUUAACAAAAAAUCUUAAUACAGAAAUUAAUUAAAAGAGAGCAUGCCACACACAACUAAUUUCAAUCCACUCUUCAAAUGAGUGUUUAAAUAAGUUCACAAUUUUACAUCUAAUUCUCUCUCAAAUCAAACCAUAAACUAAUUAAAAACUAAUCCUGUCAUAACAUGUCGAAUCCCCAUGGCCGUCGCAGAUUUGUAUAUUCCAUUUUAGGCAAUGGCAAAGGUUCGUCGUACUGAUCCAUAUAUAUAAUCUUUAAACUUCAUGGACAAAAAACUCAGUGUCAUUCCUUGCUAAAAUGGGGUGUUUCGGAAUUUGAAUUUGCAGUGGCGGAGCUGAUGCUGUGGAAGAACAAGAGACAAUCGGGGGCCAUGGUGGCCGGAAUGAGCUGUGUUUGGUUGAUGGUGGAGGUUUUAGAUUACCAUUUGAUUACUCUUAUUUCCCAUCUUCUCAUCAUCCUCAUGCUUCUUCUCUUCUUAUGGAAGAAAUUAGCAUUUUUCACAGUCCCAUGGUAACACACUAACACUAAUUAUAAUUUAAUGUGAAUUUAAAAGCACUUAAUUGUAUUGGUAACAUAGUAAUGUUUUUUAUAUUUUAUCAUUAUUUUGAAUGGUAUAGGAGUCCACCCAAUGCCCAAGAUUUAGAAAUCUCAGACUCCACUUUCACUCAUCUCUUUCAAACAUUCAAUUGGUUCCUCCACAGCUUCUUUCAAAUUUCCAAUGGCAAUGACUUUAAGCUCUUUGCAAUGGUACCCUCAAUAAUCUAUGUUUAUUAUUUCUCAUCUUCUCCUUUAAUUCCCUUUAAAACUACACAUUAAACUAUCAUCUCAAUAUCUAUAAUAAUUAUACCAUUUACAACUUCUAACCCUAAAAAACAAACCCUAAACUUAUACGUUUUUAUUGAAUCGUAUGAGUUUAAGGAUUACAUUUUUAUCACUGGAGGACUCAAUUUUUGGAAUGAAAAGUUCAAAAAAUAUAAUUGCAGUAUAUAAUUUUCCUUUUCUUUUUGUAGGUAAUGGGUGGCCUUUGGUUAUUAUCCGUUGUUGGAGAGUCAGUGAACUUAUUCAAUCUCGUGUAUAUUGGUAUAUUCUCUUUUUCUAUUUGACUAGAAUCUUGUCCUAAAAUGUGAUUAACAGUUUUAAAACACGAUUUCUCUACCAAAGCUAACUUGUCUUUUUUUUCCUAUUGAUAUGAUUGAACAAAAUGAAAUGAUAUGGAUGAUAAGUAUUUGUGACCUUACAAAUAGUUCCUGUUGUAUACGACAAGUAUGAGGAGGGAUUCAAUAAGGUUGCCUCUCACAUCAAAGCUAAUAUGGACUACUAUUUCCACUUGAUUGAUUCCAAAUUUCUCACCAAAAUUCCAAGGUGGCAUAAUAUCAAACAAUCUUAAAAUCAUUCUUAAUCUUAACCUUAUAAUAAUUACAUAUAUAAUCCAUAUUAUAUGUGUAGAUUUUCUUUUUGCAAACCUUUCAUUCCUAAGUGUUGAUUCAUUUUUUCCCUUUUCUAUAUAUAAAUUAAAUGAGGCACUUUGAUGAUUCAAUAGUCUCUCUUGUAUUAUAUUUCUCUUGUUUUGAGAAAAGAAUUCAUCUCGUUCAUGAUUAUUUUCACUCUAUACAUAAAUUAAAAUCAACUCACAAAAUAAGAUAAUAAAAUUACUCUUCUCUUCUCUGAAAUUAGAAAUUAUUUUCCAAUCGAAAAUAAGUUGAAAAAACUAGAGAAAGAUGACAGAAGAUGAAUAACCUUUCACAGUAACUUUUUCAUAUAACAAUUGUUGUCUUAUUUAAUUCCAAAAUUAAUUAACGUCUCUAAUGUUUAUGUUAAUUUGUAUUCUUAAAGAACUUGGGAAGAGAUGUGGUUUAAAUUACAUAAAUUUUAUUGUUGUAUUUAACAAAGUUUUAAAUCGAUUCACAAAAAUUGAAAGAUGUUAUAUCGAAUUGGGGUUUGGAGUUUUAUUUAAAAGAAACACACCCCCUAUGUAGGGUUAUAAAAACACUUAUAUCCAAUGGGCAAUAGGUUUUUCUUUUACUAUUCAUUUAGAAUUAGACAUAGGAUUAAAUUCUCAAGAUAAGUAUAAGAAUUCCAAAUAAUUGUUCCUUAGUUUUGAGAUUAAAUUUGAUAAAAUUACAAUAUUUUUUUAGUGAAAAUGUAUACAUAAUCUCGUGUUUUCUAGUUCACUUAGAUUUUUAUUUUUGGUAUCAUAAUUGAAGAGGGGGAAAAUAUUUGAAUUUUGAAAAGAAUAAUUGAAUUGAAAGAGAACCACAUUUGUAUAAAGGUAGAAAAGAGUCAAAGGGAAAAAAAUGGGAAUAUCUUUGAAACAUAUCCACAUCUUAGCUUUUUAUAGAUAGGAUUAUUAUUCUGUAAUUAGGUUGAGAAUAAUUAAUAGAAUACACACUUACCCCCAUGCACCACCAAUUCACCCAAUUACCCUUUUCUCUUUUACUUUCUUUUCAAUUCUUCAAUUAUUUACAUUCCAAAUAUGGUCAAACAUCCAUAUAUUGACCAAUCAUCCCUAACUUUUGAACGUUUAUUUAUAUUUUAUGGAUGAAUUUCAACAAACAUUAUUAUAUAUACUUGACCUUUUGCAUCACAACUUGACCUAGUAAUUAGCAGUGAAAAUUUUAUCAUAAACACAUAAUUAAUUAUUUACCAUAUUAAUUAUGUAGUUAGAAGAAAAAAUGAAUUAAUGAACACCUAAUAAUGUGGAAGCUGACUUUGAUUUCUCGCCCGCAUCUUCCGUAAUGGAAAAAUUGUGUCCUCAUUAGUCAUUAUUCUCCUUUUUUUCUUUUACUAAUCCUUUUUUUAAAAAAAUUAGUUUUUCUAAACUUAACUAAAACUUCAAUAACCCAAAAUAUAUUUAAAUUACGAGCCAUUUAAUCCAUGACCUAAAAGUCAAAAAGUCAACAAAUGUUGGGCUCUUUAUUCAAUUGUUUUUGCUAUGAGAUUCCUUUUAUAUUUAGUCCAGGUGGUAUUAUAUUAUUGGUGGAGGGUUUGGAUAUUACAUAUAUAUAUAUAGACCUCUUGACUUGGCCCUUCUUCCUUAUUCUUCACUUCUAAUAAUCCAAUCUCAUCAACCUACACAUUUACUCUUAGAUGGUGAGGGUAUUGAGAGAUUUCCACGGCGGAGGAUUGACGAUCGCUUCCCCAGUUUUGAUAUUUUGGGCGGUGGUGCUUUCGAUUUCGAUCAUCACAACAGUUAUAUUCUCCUGCACCGGCGGCAGCGGCGCUAAAGAUAAGGACACGUCCCAUGCCGAUACUUACGGUGGUGCUGCUUGUGCUGCCGGCUGUGGAGGCGGCUGCGGCGCUUAAUCUCAUCCAACAACGGAAAUUUUCACCACCAGAUCGAUGUAAUUUGAUUUCCUUUUUCUCACUUUUCAAUUCUUCUCCUUUUAGGAGGGUGAUGAUUAUAUUAUAGGGAUUUUCAGUUUGGUUGGUUUAAAAUAUGUGAAACAAAUUGACAUAUUUGAUAAAGAAAAUGUAAAGAUUUGAAAUAUUUGAAUGAAAGGGUUCGUUAAACACGUUGUGUUUAUCCAAAUAUAGCGUUGGUUCUUCUUUUACAUUCCCCACUUUUUAUUCCUCUGCCGACAUUAUUAUUAUUGUUUCCAUUUUUCUUUUUCAAAUCUUUUAUUUGGUUUCUAAAUUUUGUACUAAUAUAAUUAUAUAUGUUUACUAUCGAAUUCGAACUUUUAAUUUCAUCUCA